This 251-nucleotide ribosomal RNA is filed under the name uncultured bacterium. RNAcentral describes it as "partial 16S ribosomal RNA". It matches the Rfam family "Bacterial small subunit ribosomal RNA", at positions 524 to 776 of the family's 1533-position model. The record is from RNAcentral.
UACGAAGGGGGCUAGCGUUGCUCGGAAUGACUGGGCGUAAAGGGCGCGUAGGCGGAUGGUACAGUCAGAUGUGAAAUUCCCGGGCUCAACCUGGGCUGCAUUUGAUACGUGCUGUCUUGAGUUCGGAAGAGGGUCGUGGAAUUCCCAGUGUAGAGGUGAAAUUCGUAGAUAUUGGGAAGAACACCGGUGGCGAAGGCGGCGACCUGGUCCGAGACUGACGCUGAGGCGCGAAAGCGUGGGGAGCAAACAGG